CGUCGAUGAAGAGUGCAGCCAACUGUGUGAAUUACUGUGAACUGCUACUGCUUUGAUCAUCGACAACUUGAACGCAUAUUGCGGCCACGGGUUAGCCUGUGGCCACGCCUGUCCGAGGGUCG
Molecule: ribosomal RNA, 122 nt
Filed under: Staphylorchis cymatodes
Lineage: Eukaryota; Metazoa; Platyhelminthes; Trematoda; Plagiorchiida; Gorgoderidae
Description: partial 5.8S ribosomal RNA
Rfam family: 5.8S ribosomal RNA
About the family: 5.8S ribosomal RNA (5.8S rRNA) is a component of the large subunit of the eukaryotic ribosome.
Source: RNAcentral